GACGAACGCUGGCGGCGUGCUUAACACAUGCAAGUCGAACGAAGAGCGAUGGAAGCUUGCUUCUUUCAAUCUUAGUGGCGAACGGGUGAGUAACGCGUAAUCAACCUGCCCUUCAGAGGGGGACAACAGUUGGAAACGACUGCUAAUACCGCAUACGAUCUAAUCUCGGCAUCGAGGAUAGAUGAAAGGUGGCCUCUACAUGUAAGCUAUCACUGAAGGCGGGGUUGGCGGCUGAUUAGCUAGUGGGUGGGGUAACGGCCCACCAAGGCGAUGAUCAGUAGCCGGUCUGGGAGGAUGAACGGCCACAUUGGGACUGAGACACGGCCCAGACUCCUACGGGAGGCAGCAGUGGGGAAUCUUCCGCAAUGGACGAAAGUCUGACGGGGCAACGCCGCGUGGGCGAUGACGGCCUUCGGGUUGUAAAGCUCUGUUAAUCGGGACGAAAGGCCUUCUUGCGAAUAGUGAGAAGGAUUGACGGUACCGGAAUAGAAAGCCACGGCUAACUACGUG
This 510-nucleotide ribosomal RNA is filed under the name uncultured bacterium. RNAcentral describes it as "partial 16S ribosomal RNA". It matches the Rfam family "Bacterial small subunit ribosomal RNA", at positions 28 to 507 of the family's 1533-position model. The record is from RNAcentral.